UACGUAGGGUGCAAGCGUUAAUCGGAAUUACUGGGCGUAAAGCGUGCGCAGGCGGUUGUGCAAGACAGAUGUGAAAUCCCCGGGCUCAACCUGGGAACUGCAUUUGUGACUGCACGGCUGGAGUGCGGCAGAGGGGGAUGGAAUUCCGCGUGUAGCAGUGAAAAUGCGUAGAUAUGCGGAGGAACACCGAUGGCGAAGGCAAUCCCCUGGGCCUGCACUGACGCUCAUGCACGAAAGCGUGGGGAGCGAACGGG
This 254-nucleotide ribosomal RNA is filed under the name uncultured bacterium. Its description in RNAcentral is "partial 16S ribosomal RNA". It matches the Rfam family "Bacterial small subunit ribosomal RNA", at positions 524 to 776 of the family's 1533-position model. The record is from RNAcentral.